AUAUAUUGGGAUAGAUUAGUAUAUAUAUAUAUAUAUGUAUAUUUAUAUAAUUUAUAGAUAGAAAAAGUAAUUUUAGGUAUAUUUAGUUUAAGUAUAUAAUUAGAAUUUAAUAUUUGAAAUUGAUAGAGAAUUUAGUAAUUUGUUUGAAAGUUUUUAUAAUUAAAAAAGUAAUUUUUAUUUAAUGUAUCUUGGGUAUCAGAGUAUUAUAAUAAUUAAUAAAAUUAAUUUAUUCUCGAAAUUUGAUGAGCUAAAUAUUAAAAAUUAAAUUAAGUUAAUGUGAAAUAAUUAUUUUAAAUUUAUAUUUAGAAAUGAAAAGUUAAUUCGUAUCAAUAGUUAUCUAGUUUUUAAAGAAAUUAAUUUAAUUAAAUAAAUUUGUAUGAAUAUAUGUUUAUAUUUAUUUAUAAGGAUAUUGUUAGAAUUUAUAUAUAUAUUUAGGGAUAAUCUUAAAUAUAAAUAAUUAUAUUUUUAAAUGAUAAAUAAAAUAUAAAUAAAGUUAUAAUAUUAGAAUUAUUUAUUAGGUUUAAUUUUUAAUUAAUAAUUUAUAUAUAUAUAUAUAUAUUUUAUUUUUAAAAUUAAUUAUUUAUUUAAAUAUUAUAUUUAAUAUUAAUAUAUAAGUAAAAAUGUAAUAAUUAGUAUAAUUAUAUAUAGAUAAUAUAUAAAAUUAAUUUAAAUGAAUGAAUUCGGCAAAGAUAUAUAUAUACAUAUAUAUUAAAUUUACCUGUUUAUCAAAAACAUGUCUUUUUGAUUUAAUUUAAAGUCUGAUCUGCCCACUGAAUUAGUAUAUAUAUAUAUAUAUAUGUAUAUAUAAAUUAAAGUUUGAAGGGCUGCAGUAUUUUGACUGUACAAAGGUAGCAUAAUAAUUAGUCUUUUGAUUGAAGACUAGAAUGAAUGAUUAAAUAAAAUUUAAACUAUAUAAAUUUAAAAUAAUAGAAUUUAAUUUUUUUAUUAAAAAGUAAAAAUAAUUUUUAAAGACGAGAAGACCCUAUAGAUUUUUAUAAUAAUUUCUUUUAUUUUAUAUUAAUUUUAUGUUAAUUGUAAUUAUUAUUGGAUUGGGGUGAUUUUAAAAUUAAUUUAAUUUUUAAAUUUUUGUUUAUGAAUAUAUAUUAAUAUAUAUAAUUUUUGAUCUUGAUAAUUUUGAUUAAUAGAUUAAGUUACCUUAGGGAUAACAGCGUUAUUUAGAUUUAAAGUUCAUAUUUAAAUUUAAUUUUGCGACCUCGAUGUUGGAUUAAGAGUUAAUCUAGAAGCAUAAGUUUAGGAUAAAUUAGUCUGUUCGACUAUUAAACUCUUACAUGAUCUGAGUUCAGACCGGCGUGAGCCAGGUUGGUUUCUAUCUUGAAAAAUUAAUGGUAUAAGAGGAGAUAUGAUAUACUUUAGUACGAAAGGAUUAAGUAUAAUAAAAAUGUUUAUUAAGGAUUAAUUAGAAUAAUAUUUAAUUUAAUUGUUGAAAAUUAAUUAAAAUGGUAAGAUUAU
This 1470-nucleotide ribosomal RNA is filed under the name Macrostemum floridum. RNAcentral's name for it is "16S ribosomal RNA". Lineage: Eukaryota; Metazoa; Arthropoda; Insecta; Trichoptera; Hydropsychidae. The record is from RNAcentral.